AUUUUUGCUUCAAUUGCUUUAAAACAUCAAUUUUUUGCCUUUGUUUGCAAGGAAAUGCCACAAGCACAUUGUCAAAAGUGCAGGAAUACAUGUAGGUACAUGGAUACUGGAAUGUACUUUGUAUCACCAAUGUCUCUGGUGAAUGUUUGAAUGAGUGGGAGGAGUCAUUGGAGUAAAACUAGCAAAUGAGAAUUUCUUCAAACACAAGGUAAGAGAAGGUAGGGGAAGCCAUCUGAGUUAGACAUUAAAAGUCUUAAGGAAUAAAUCAAGAAUUAGCUGGUGUUUUGAAGUGUACCAAUAAAAAUAUUGACAGCAUAAAAUGGUUUGCAAAAGAGUGCAAACUAGAGAAGGAAAAGCAGGUUGAUGUUGAGAUUUUGAAAAAUGACCUGGAUUUCAUUACAGCAAAAGAAAAACAUGAUUACAAUUAGACAUAGAACUGUGACCAAAGUUUGUAUAUAAGAAUUUUCAGCAAAGGUGGUGAAUGAAAAUCCCAUUAGCUUUUAGUUAAGUUAAUGGAAAAUGAUGGGAGGUAGACUGGCUGCAAAAAGUCCCAGUUCAGUGGUCAUGGAGCAGUAAGUACAGAUUAAAUUGUAAUGAAAAGCACAUGACAUUCUGCAAAAAAGGGGGAAUCUGGUGCAAAAUGUAGCAUGACACACAGAAAUUGUAAUCAAGCAAUCAUUUGAAAUAAUCAAAGUGGAUGCUGUUGAGCUAUAUGCAUGUACACUUCAUGUUUUCCAUGUUGUUUGCCUUUACAGCCACCUAAGAAGAAGCACAAAGCUCCUGUGGCAAACCAUGCCAUUUUGGAUGAAAUGCAGACGAGACAAUCUCAUAAACAGGAGGAGGCACCUGCACAUCAUGAACCAGCUUGCAGGUGUGCCAAGUAUGACAGCCUUCGAGCAAAGUAUAGAGAGUUGAAAGCUGAGAGGACAGGGCUGUCAGCAAAGGUGGCUGAGCUGUCUAAAUUCAAAGACUGUUGUGGACAAACUGAAGGCAGUGUAGUAAUGCUACUUUGGCUUCAGAGAAAAAUGACGGGGACUCAUCCUUCUCUGACUCUACUCCAGUCAAGAAGCCAAGCAGUAAAAGCAAGGUUCACAUUGGGCAUGGUGUCCUCUUGGACAAGGGUCAACUACUGACCAUUUUGCAGGGUAGCGACACUGUGACAAAGUUGGCCAGGGACCCGUUUGCUGCCCUCUUCAUCAGUAGGGAUGAGGUGAUAGGCAAGAGCUUGACAGGGAAGAGGAGCAAUGCCCAUAAGGACAAGGACCCAAAGAAAGCUCUUGACCCUGCAAGAGUGAAAGCUCUUCUCGGUACG
This is a long non-coding RNA of Acanthaster planci (crown-of-thorns starfish), 1312 nucleotides long. NCBI's taxonomy places the organism in Eukaryota, Metazoa, Echinodermata, Asteroidea, Valvatida, Acanthasteridae. The record is from RefSeq and is a predicted model, not a curated record.